RNAcentral lists this ribosomal RNA (267 nucleotides) under uncultured bacterium. RNAcentral's name for it is "partial 16S ribosomal RNA". It matches the Rfam family "Bacterial small subunit ribosomal RNA", at positions 88 to 353 of the family's 1533-position model. The record is from RNAcentral.
CGACUGAGCGGCGGACGGGUGAGUAACGCGUGGGUAACCUGCCUCAUACAGGGGGAUAACAGUUGGAAACGGCUGCUAAUACCGCAUAAGCGCACAGUACCGCAUGGUACCGUGUGAAAAACUCCGGUGGUAUGAGAUGGACCCGCGUCUGAUUAGGUAGUUGGUGGGGUAACGGCCUACCAAGCCGACGAUCAGUAGCCGACCUGAGAGGGUGACCGGCCACAUUGGGACUGAGACACGGCCCAAACUCCUACGGGAGGCAGCAUG